UGAGCCGGCCGGGUGGUCGCGGCUCGGAUCCGCCUUCGGCGGAGAAGGGCUGAGGAAGGUCGGGGCUCCACAGGGCAAGGUGCUGGCUAACGGCCAGUCGGGGUGACCCGCAGGAAAGUGCCACAGAAAGCAAACCGCCGAUGGCGGGAUCCGUGCCCGGCACGGCCCGCACAGGUAAGGGUGAAACGGUGCGGUAAGAGCGCACCAGCGUCCGGGGUGACCCGGCGGCUUGGUAAACCCCACCCGGAGCAAGGCCAAGUGAGGGACACGGGCGGCCCGUCCGGUGCCUAUGGCACAGUCCCCUGGUCGGCCGCGUAGAUGGAUGGCCACCCACCCGCUCGAAAAGCGGGUGACAGAACCCCGCCUACAGGCCGGCUCACCAC
Molecule: RNase P RNA, 383 nt
Filed under: Actinomycetota bacterium
Lineage: Bacteria; Bacillati; Actinomycetota
Description: RNase P RNA component class A
Rfam family: Bacterial RNase P class A
About the family: Ribonuclease P (RNase P) is a ubiquitous endoribonuclease, found in archaea, bacteria and eukarya as well as chloroplasts and mitochondria. Its best characterised activity is the generation of mature 5'-ends of tRNAs by cleaving the 5'-leader elements of precursor-tRNAs. Cellular RNase Ps are ribonucleoproteins.
Source: RNAcentral